This is a small nucleolar RNA of Labeo rohita (rohu), 108 nucleotides long. RefSeq annotates it as small nucleolar RNA SNORD46. The record is from RefSeq and is a predicted model, not a curated record. The transcript has a single exon. NCBI's taxonomy places the organism in Eukaryota, Metazoa, Chordata, Actinopteri, Cypriniformes, Cyprinidae.
AGUGUGGAUGAUGAAAACCCGUCCUUAGGUUGGUCUUUUUUUUAGCCUUUUUGGUUAAAGCCUUUGACCUUCCCGUGUUAGGAUUCGUCAUAGUUACACUGACACAUU